CGUGUAGGCGGCUCGAUAAGUUCGCUGUUAAAGUCCAGGGCUCAACCCUGGGAUGCCGGUGAAUACUGUCGAGCUCGAGUCCGGAAGAGGAGUGUGGAAUUCCUGGUGUAGCGGUGAAAUGCGCAGAUAUCAGGAGGAACACCAAUGGCGAAGGCAGCACUCUGGGACGUGACUGACGCUGAGACGCGAAAGCGUGGGGAGCAAACA
Molecule: ribosomal RNA, 207 nt
Filed under: uncultured bacterium
Lineage: Bacteria
Description: partial 16S ribosomal RNA
Rfam family: Bacterial small subunit ribosomal RNA
Source: RNAcentral